GACGAACGCUGGCGGCGCGCCUUACGCAUGCAAGUCGAACGGAGCAUUCCUUCGGGGGAUGUUCAGUGGCAGACGGGUGAGUAACACGUAGGUAACCUGCCCGGGAGUGGGGAAUAACUCUCCGAAAGGAGAGCUAAUACCGCAUGACGUCGCUUCGUACAUCGAGGUGACCAAAGUAGCAAUACGCUUCCGGAGGGGCCUGCGGCCCAUCAGCUAGUUGGCGGGGUAACGGCCCACCAAGGCAACGACGGGUAGCUGGUCUGAGAGGACGACCAGCCACAAGGGGACUGAGACACGGCCCCUACUCCUACGGGAGGCAGCAGCGAGGGAUCUUGGGCAAUGGGCGAAAGCCUGACCCAGCGACGCCGCGU
RNAcentral lists this ribosomal RNA (371 nucleotides) under uncultured bacterium. RNAcentral's name for it is "bacterial SSU rRNA". It matches the Rfam family "Bacterial small subunit ribosomal RNA", at positions 28 to 402 of the family's 1533-position model. The record is from RNAcentral.